CGGAGGGGUUAGCGUUGUUCGGAAUGACUGGGGCGUAAAGCGCGCGUAGGCGGAUCGUCAAGUCGGGGGUGAAAUCCCGGGGCUCAACCCCGGAAUGGCCUUCGAGACUGUCGGUCUUGAGUUCGAGAGAGGUGAGUGGAAUUCCGAGUGUAGAGGUGAAAUUCGUAGAUAUUCGGAGGAACACCAGUGGCGAAGGCGGCUCACUGGCUCGACACUGACGCUGAGGUGCGAAAGCGUGGGGAGCAAACAGGAUU
Molecule: ribosomal RNA, 254 nt
Filed under: uncultured bacterium
Lineage: Bacteria
Description: partial 16S ribosomal RNA
Rfam family: Bacterial small subunit ribosomal RNA
Source: RNAcentral